CUCGGCGGGAGGAAGGAGAAAGAAGAGGAGGCGGCGGCGGCGGAGGAGCAGGGCACAUAAACCAGGGCACUUCAGUUGUCUCAUGUUUCCUUCUGUUGAGAGUUCACACUUCGCGUCCGAACUUUUGCGCACAAAUGGUGCAAUUAGCAGGCACAAAAGCCCUGGCUCAUGACGCCUGUGCUCGCAAGCUAGCUUUAGUAAAACUUGUGCUGACUUUUUUUCCCCUUUAAAACUCGUUUGGACUGGAGUUCGCCUCAGACUUCCCCCCUCCCCCCGCUCCUGCCCUCCUUUGGUCCGUGUGGUAUUUGUUUGCCGGUUUAAGAAGCCCAGCUCUGUUUGCUCUGAUGUUCUUUUAGCCGAGGCUGUGUUGGGGCUGCCGGACUGUCUGGGCUUUAGUGACCGAUGAGGUGUUAAAUGCUAAUUCAACAUCUUUCGAAACAAACCAGGAUUUUGUUGAAACAUUUUAAUACAAGCAAACAAAUGACUGUAGUUCAGAUAAUAGGGAAAAACGUUUUAAAAAUAGCGUUUUCAUUAUUUUUUUAAACAGUGCGGACUGCAGAAGCAAACUCCGAUGCUUUUAUUCCCCUCGAGCGGCGUGAGGCAUUAGGAGCCAUUGUUCCGGAGAUACAAGCCACCCCCACCCGCGCCGUCACCCACCGUGCGCUGGGGGUGGGGGUCGCGCUCGUUAAUCAUUUCUAGCCAGCUAGUUCGACUUCCGACAGCGGAGCCCGUCUGGCGGGGCUGCCUGGGUGAGGUGCAUUGGAUCUCGCGGAGCCGGCCGGCUGUCCCCACCAUCCUAGAGGCAUGGGGAAGUCCUGCCGCAAGGCCUGCAGACUGAAGGGAUCAGGCGGGCUCGGGGAUUGGUUACUGUAGACAGGGAGGCAUGCAUAUCAGAGGGGAGCCUUUCCCACCCCACCACCCGCGCCGGGAACCCUCAUCCCUGCCAGAGCCGCAGCCCCCUCCCCUGCGGGUGGCCGGGCACUCGCGGAGCAGCGGCGGCGCCUGCGCUUUGCACUCUUUGUCAGCACCCCGCCGCCCCCGCAUCCUCGCUCAGUGGGUGCUGGGCGACCCCGCGGACUGUUGGGGGGCCCGAGUGCAAACUGUGGGCUCCGUAAUGGCCCAGAGAGGGUGAGGGGAAAGGAGUGCCUGCUGGGACUCCCUGGCUCCCAAGGAGAGCUCAGAGUUCCGGGGGACGUUUCUGUCGCUCAGCAGAGCCAGCAGACGUUCCUAUCCCAAGACGUUUCAGUCACUGGGACCUGGAGGCGAGGAGGGGCGAUGCAGGAUACCUGCUGCGGAACCAAGGAGCGCGAAGCCCGGGACCUCCCACAGAAGAAGCAGGUGUUGAAGAGACCAUACCACCCUAUGCUGUUCCCUGCCAGAAUUUGAAGGGGUAAGGUAGGUCUGCAUUUUGAGUUUUGACCACCAGCUUCACCUGUUCUGUUGCACGCUCCUCACAGAUAUCAAGGAUCAAAAGUUGGGCUUAUUUUCCUGUUCAUUUUACACCUGGUCGUUUUCUUUGCACGCACCUCUUCAUUAUUAACCAUUCAAUAAAUGCUGCAUAUCUUUCCUUGGGUCCUCACAACUACCGUUACUUACCUAGUAUGUCAGCAUAGCACAUGGGCCUGGAUUCGGGUCUCAGCCCUGUCCCUCACUCAGUUGCAGCCUGGCAGAGGACAGUCAUAGCCUCUCUGUGCCUCCAUUCAUGCAUUCAUUCACCCACUCACUUAUUGUAGGUUCCAAGAAAGCAGCAGUGAAUAAAACAGACAAGAAUACCUGUCUUCCCAGAGCUUACCUCCUGGUGAGGACAGACAAUAAACAAAAUAAAUAAUGAAACAGGAUAUUAGGAAGCGAAAGUGCUAUGGAGAAAAAUAAAGCAAGGAAACAAAUUCAGCAGUGUGUAAAAUUGGAAUUAGUUUUACCUACCUCAAAGGACUGUGAGGAUGAGAGGCAGUCGAGAUGACACACACAAAGUGUAGGGCACAAUAUAGGGACUCAAAAGAAGGUGUUUUUAAGACUCUCUGCUUUUGUCCUGCACAAAGCUGACACUCUGUUGUCUUGAAUCUCACCCUGGCCCUGUCGCCUAGGCUCCUAGGAAAAACUAGAAGAGUUCUAGCCACUGGAAGAAUCACAGGCUUCCUUACUUCCGGAGGCCUCAGUUCCCUGCUCAGGGUAUCAUUUAUACGGGCAUGUGUCUUAAGUGCAAGGAAGCAAUUUCAGAGGCCCUAAUUUCCCUGUGUGUGAAUAUGUGUGCAUGCACUGAGCACUGGGGCUUGAGUUUUCCCUGGGAUUACCCGCUAGGAAGCUGCUUGAAAGUAAGUCUUUCUGUUUUACAUAUUUGGUUGGCUAUUGGAGAAGCAUUCCAAGUUUGUAGGAAUUUUCCUGCCUUUGAGGACCCUUGAGAUGUAUGAGACCUAAAAGGGUUAGCAUGAGCUUUAUUUAAUCUUGGAGUAAUCUCUAUGAAUACAAUGACAUUUAUUAAACAUAUUAUGUGAAAAUAGUUCAACAAAUUUUCAGCUAAUAAUAGGGAGAGAGUGUUCUGGAAGAUCUGACUUAAAAUGUAAUUUUGUGGCAUAUUCAAGAUUCACUUUUUAGAGGCCCCAGGGAGGCCCUCACAGGAACAGUGCCUUCCAGAACAGCCAAAUAGAAAAAAACGGUUCAAUGGAAUUAAACUGCAUUUGAGAAAUAUGUUUGAAAUAGCCUGACUUAAACGGCAUAUGAGGCUCACAAAACUCAUGCUGACAGGUGCCUCAAAAAGACAGCAAGUUACGUCUGAACAGCAGGAGCUGUGGAACCCAAUAGGCCCAAAGAACGGGCAAUAGGAAACAUGGGCUCUACACACCGAUAGGCUGUGCACACAGAAAACCAAAAGGAGUUUCAAAUGUGAGCCCCAAAUUAAAACCACGACUGCAGAUCCUGGGUUGCUAUCAGACUGCAUCUCACGUGGCAGCUCCACAUGGCUUGCCCCUGGGUGAGGGGCUGCAGGAUCUUAUUGAGAACAGAUUAACGAUUUCCCCACAAAUGUGGGAGUGGGGAAAAGGCAGGCUAGGUUAGAUGGCAACUAACAGGUCGCUGGCCUGCGGCAGUGCCCAAGUCACACAUCCAGUUACAUCUAGGAAGUGGCUGGAGUUUUCCUAUAAACAUGCACAUGCACUUUCGCACCUUGCUAGAAUAACAACCUAAAGGAAAAUGUGGACUAUUGUGAAAUUCUGACCUUGGCCCCAACCAGGCUAACCUUUUAAAAACCAUGGUCUUCAUCCGCUUUCUUGAGUUUCUGUUUUCCCUCACUGAAUAGAAUGCACAUUAAUUUACAUUCAGGAUCCCACAGAGACUUUAUCUAGAAAGUUCUUUUGAAGUCUUCAGCAAGAACAUUCAUUUAAAGGCAACAAUGGUGAUUUCUCGUUUCAGAUGCUUUUAGUCCCUUAGCUUCCAGCGAUAGAACAUUCAUUGACUCUUCCCUGUUGUACUUUUUUUUCCCCACGAAGAAGGAAAUGAAAAGCAUAUGUAUAUGUAAGAAAUCCUCAGGAAGUUGGCAUCUCUGUAGUACAGCCCAGGUCACCAACCUGUAUUGGAGGGGGUGAGGAGGUAUUACGGCACCUUGCUUCCCAAUGUACUAUUUCCAAAGCCCCAGGGAUGGUCCUUAGUGGGAAAUGAGGCUUACGUUGCCUUCCAGGGAGGUGAGGGACUGUAUGUAUUCAUGUUUCCAGAAACUUCCCUGGGUCCUGUCUUGAAGCAGCAUGUGUGCAGUAUCCUGGGCAUUCGCCAUGCUGCAGCUACAUGCAGAAUAUCUGCCUUGUAUCUCCUUGUGUGGACUGUUCCCUCUGGUGACUUUUCUCCCCAUCUUGUGUUUCUUUAUUUACUCAGGUGUGAGCAGUACAGAUAGCUGUUGUGUAAAAGAACUAAUCAUUUUUCUAAGUAGGUAUGAUUUCCUGCCAGCCCUUUUUUGCCUCAGCAAUCAGUAGAAAUGACUAUGUGUGUCCACAAUACAAGGAAUGUUUUAGUUCAGUUUAUCCAACUUAAGAACUCACAGAUUCAGGACUAUAUGGGUGGAAACCCAGGGGCCUUCAAACUCCAGUCUAAGCAGGACUGCUUUAGGCCGUUUGAUAGGUUCAUCCCCAAAGUUACGUUUGGGUAUAUGAUGAAAAUAGCAAGACAAUGGCUACAACCUAUUCUACACCAAGCUUUGCUUGUGUUCAAUCUAACUACCAUGAUAACUGCAAAGCAGAUAUACCAUUACCACAGUUUUAUAGUGAGGAAGGCCGGGCUCAAAAGGCAGGUAAUUACACUGGAACUCAAACUCACAUCUCAGUCCCUUUGAAGUGUCUCUAGUACAUUCUGCUCCCUACUCAAUAAGAGUGGCCCUACCUAAAGCACGGCUGCAUGCAGCCUGCUGUGAAUUCCGCCUGUUAUAAAAUGGCAGCUUCUGCAUACUUUGUUACAUUUUAACUUGCUGGUCAAAUCGGGGAGUUCUACAGUCAGACCAACCUGGAUUCUAACCCAUUCUAGCCCUUUGAUUCUGCAGGAACUUGCCUAAUCUCCCUAUGCUUCAGUUUCCUCACCUGUAAAACCGGGAUAACAUAUCACAGGGCUAUUGUAAUAAACAACAUGUUUAUAAGGAGGAACAGUCUUGAAACAAUAAUUCAUUGAGAGUUGCCUGUUUUUAUUGUUACACACACACACACACACACACACACACACACACACACACACACACCUACCUCUUAAUAAAUGUUUAUUGACCUUGCUGAAAAGGGAUUAUAUAAUGGAAAACACUACAGGGUCAGUUUUGUUCUCAGGAAUAGAAAAACAGACCAUAUAAGAUUAUGAAACAAACAAAAAAAACAACUUAAAGAACACAGUAGAUUGCUUUACCACCUCUCUUAGUUGCUGAUGUAAGCAUCCCGGAAAUCACCAUUUCUCCAUGUGCAGAGAGAGACCAGGGACAUUGGGAACGCUGAAUACUUAGGAAGGCCUUCCCAGCAGUCUAGGACCCACCUGCUGAAGCAGCAGGUAUUGUCUUCCCUCCGUCACUGCCGGCUCAUGGCCAUUCCUGUCAGCUGAGGAUUUGCUAAAAGGGAUGUGGAAGUCUAGUGGCCUCAGUGAUGUUAUCAUCCUCUCAGUGGUCUGGGUCCUCUGUAGCUGAUGGGAGCCCCCAUUUAUUAAUAUAUACUCAAGCAUUUAAGGCCUCUUGUAUCUUAGAAGGCUUUCCCCAGAGAAGUUCUUCUUUCUUCUGACUUGGUGCCCAAGGAGCGUUUUUUUCAGAACGGGGAAGAGGCAGAGGGGGGUGAGAGCUGGGUAUGAGGGCCACGCUCCUGUGACUGGAAGGAAUCUUCCAUUACUGGGUGAAGGCUGCUGUGCUGGAGGCCACUUAGGUAAAUAGAGCACCUGCCUGGCACAGUUUCUAUAGUAAUUUUUGCACAAGUAGGAGUCCAAGGUUAUUUGUAUUAAAUAUCUGACAAAUGUGCAUCUUUUGUAGUAAUUCCAGCAGGUUUUUUCUCAGCCCACCUGAAGUUUUAGACUCUUUACCCAAACCCCAAAAGUCUCAACCCUUACUAGGUCAUGCCUCCCUUCCCGUUUCCUCUCUCCCCGCACCCUCCCUUAACUAGCUUCCCAGGGCAGAAGCCUUUGUGAUGGGCUCUCUCAUCCCUUUUGUUAUAUUGUCUAUAUGAUCAUUUUAAGUCAUACAGUAUAACUGCCCUAGUACUCUAAUGCUUUAGACGUGGAUAAUGAGCUGUGACAUUCUUAAAUAUGAAUCAAUACCUUAGACUUGACUUGGUGACCUGUGGGUUUUUUUUUAAAUUUAGCAUAAAGGAUGUUAAAAAAUUAUUUCUGUUGCUGAAAUUGGUGGCACUUAUGAUAUGUGAUGGUUAGAGGAGGUGUGACAGGACCUGUGGGUCUUGCAUGACUAAGAAAGAGAUCAGAAGGCAGCCAGCCCACCUGUGUAUGUAACCCAGCUUCCAGCACAGAGCCUCUGACUCCCGGCUUCACCUUGGAUCCUGCCCCUAGUGAGACUCCAAAACCUGCUGGUGUUUAUUUUGGAGCACUGCUGCCUUGCUUCAGCAUGGCCCUUUUGUGCAGGGUGCUGCUAAUCAAAGAAUUGAGGCUAGCGAGAAGGACGCAGUUUGUAUGACUGCACCUACUUGCUAAAACAUAUUUUUUUUCAUCUAGUUAAAUUUGGUAGGAGAUUUAUUUUUAUAGUGAGAGUGAGGUAGAGUGCAGUGAGGAGUGUAACCUAAAUCUGGGCCUCUCUAACCUCUAGAGGCCUCUGAUUUUUAUCAAAAGAAUCUGACAUUUGUCCAACAGCCAACUUGGCUCAGAAGCAGAGCUGAAAAAUAUAGGUGCCCAAGUCCCAUCUUCAGUAAUUCUGAUUUAAAUUUUGUAAGAUGGACCUCAGGCAUUGGCAUGUCUCAAGAACUCCCCAGGGAAUGAUAAUAUGUAACACGGGCUGAGAACCAUUGGCCUAGAAGGAUUCACAACACUUGUCCCCCAUUAUUCCCCUUGCCUAGGGAGAGGUUGCCAGCCAGACUGGUGAGUCUCAGCAUGAAAUGUUUGGAAACACCUGGGAUUGCUUGCUACUAGUCUACAUCGUUGCCUCCUGCUCAGGGACCCUGAUUCAGAAGGUCUAGAGAGGGGCCCAGGCAACUGUCUUUGAGUCCAACAGCCAGCAGUGGCUCAUACAGGUGGGCCACACUUUGAGAAGCUCAAUGUUCCAGAUAGCCAGGUUCCUCAACCUCCAGCUCUAGUCAAGUAUAGACGUUUUCUUGAAGAGUACCUGGAAGGAUGAAUCUAAUAGUACACUUUACCCAUAAAUAUCAGAACUAACUAACAGAAAAUGCAGCAUUAAAUAUAACUAAUCAGUUUGUCCCUGUAAGCUCAACUCUUGGACUGGCACAGACUCUGAUUUCUUUUCAGGACGCUUGAAACUGUACCCAGAUCUGCCUAUGCAUCUGCCUGAAAGAAAGUCUCUCUUGAUAACAGAAUUAAGUGUUUAUUGAGCACCCACUCUGUAUCUAGAACUCCAAUGACUGCUGGGACAUAUAGAAAUGAAUAAGGCCCUGCUGUAACAAAAAACACGUCUGAAUGGCCAGGUUAGACACAUGCACAGGUAACUAGAAUGUAACAAAACAAAUGCAGUACAGUAAUUGCAAUAGCAAGGAAGUGCUAUAGGAAUAAGUGGAGGAAAUGGUUCAUCGACCUUGGGUGUUGGAAAGGAUCCCAGAGUUAGAUCCCUGUGGAUAAGCAGAUUUCUCCCUUUGCCCUAGUCCAGGGAGAUGGGAGAAGAAAGGCACUGUGAGCUAGAGAAACAGCCCGCACGAGCAAAGGUUUGGAGGCGUGGACAUACGUGACACCUGGAGUGCAGUGGAGCAGUAUGGAGGGUGCAGAAUGGCAAAGAACAUAGGAAAGGUAGUUUCAAGCCAGGUAGCAGUGGGCUUUGGAUGUCAUGCUGAGGAGUUUGGGAUUUUUCUUUAGGCAGUGAGAUGUCAUCAAAGAUAUUUAUACAGGGGUGUGGCAUGAUUUCAGAAUAUGCUUCUGAGAACAAAGGGGUGAGUCGACUGGAGGGGAAAGAGAAACUGGAGGCAGAAAAACCGAUUAGGAAGCAAUUGCAAGGAAAAUGAUGCUACACCACAAUUGUCCUGUUCCUAAAAUAACGAACUCAUCAUCUCAUGCUUUGUUUCAUUCCUCUUCUUUCUGGGGCUAGGAAAAUCUCUUAGUCCUUGUGUGACUCAGACUCCCUCCCUAUUAAUAGAAGAUGGCAAAACACUUAUCUUUCUUCACACACGGAGGUACCGAGAGAUCCUUGUAAUUGUAGCCAGGAAAGAGGGGGAAUGCUGUCCUAAAUGCCAGUGGUGUAACCUUCCCUGGGGAGAGAAAUUGCCUGUUGCCCCUAACUUUUCAUUAUAAAAAUUUCAAACCUACAGAAAGGGUGAAGUUGAGUAACAACAUCAGAAAUGUGCUUUGGAGGGAAGCUCUUGCCAACCUCCUCCAUGCUCACUAUCCCGGAAGUGGCAUUUCUAACCCAAGGGCCCAUCACCUUUAGGAUAAAAAUGCCAUUGCAACAUGUUUGGCUACAAACACUGUUCCAUAAAGUGAGGUUUUGUAAAGAAGGACUUGUCUCCCCGUUGUUUUUCAUUACAAACAAAAGUAUAAGGCAUUUUACUCCCUUUAACUCCUACUGCUUGAAUAGGGUGGGGGUGUCGUGUAUUAGUAGAAUGCAUGAGACAUGGUCACUUAAGACUUGGGCAAAAUGUUUCCAGGUUGUACUUGAGUGUUGGGCCUUGGAGUCUAUCCUUAUAGCAGGGGGGAUCUGGGUGUGCCUUUUUCCAUCUGUUGCCUGGCCCCUUCUGAAAAAUAGAUCUCCAUUUCACUUGCCCAGCACCCCAUCUGGAAUCUCUCCUCUUUUUGAAAAAGCAGCACUGGUGUCUAUCACAGAAUGCACUGCAGACUGAAAGGGAUUUAAAUUUUGCCAAAGUGAUUUUGUCUUCUACCUUAAAAAAAAAAAAAUCCAUGCUUGAUCUAUCUGCUGAGUUGGAGCAAGAUAUUCUGAGGGGUAGAAAGAUAAACCCAUGGGGCCACUCCCCUCAAGAAGCUAGCAGGUGGGGACAGUGACGUAAGAGAGAAUGUUACAAAGGUAGCAUUCAGUGUGCCAUUAGAACAGUAUCAAAGUUCAAGAUUGAACAGGACAGUAGUAUUAGAUAACUGAUGGAGCCCUUCCAUCCCAGGAUGGGACCAUUUGGACUUACAGUGAGGAAAUCCACAGUACUUCAUUUUAUACAUGAAAACUAAAUGCUUAUAGGGUGAUAUACCAGGGGUGCCAAA
This is a long non-coding RNA of Hipposideros armiger (great roundleaf bat), 8814 nucleotides long. RefSeq lists it as uncharacterized. The record is from RefSeq and is a predicted model, not a curated record. NCBI's taxonomy places the organism in Eukaryota, Metazoa, Chordata, Mammalia, Chiroptera, Hipposideridae. The transcript has 3 exons.